RNA transcript from Gossypium raimondii (Peruvian cotton), 1831 nucleotides. RefSeq lists it as uncharacterized. Lineage: Eukaryota; Viridiplantae; Streptophyta; Magnoliopsida; Malvales; Malvaceae. The transcript is spliced from 6 exons. The record is from RefSeq and is a predicted model, not a curated record.
CAUACAAGAAGUAAUCUCAGUUCACUACUGCCAGUGAUUGAAUCAUUGAAAUCAAUGGAAAAAGCUUGCAACUCCCAUUACCAUAAUCAAUCUCUCCUGCUUCUUCCACUGUUCCUUUCAUUGCUUGUUGCAGGUCUGGCAUAUCCAACCCAAGAUGAGCAAUCCCAAAUCAUAUCGAGAUUCCAACAAUACCUUCAAAUCAACACAACCCAACCUUCCCCAGACUAUCAAAGCUCGACCCAGUUCCUUCUAUCCCAAGCCAAUUCCCUUUCUUUAGAAUCCCAAGUCAUAGAAUUCGUCAAAGGCAAACCAGUAAUUCUCCUCAAAUGGCCAGGCUCCGACCUUUCCCUUCCUUCUAUCCUCUUAAACUCUCACACGGACGUGGUUCCAUUCGAACCUUCGAAAUGGACCCAUCCGCCUCUUGGGGCUUACAUCGAUGAAGGAGGUAAUAUUUUUGGUAGAGGCUCACAGGAUAUGAAAAGCGUUGGGAUGCAAUACCUUGAGGCCAUUCGUAGGUUGAAGCUUUCUGGGUUUCAGCCAAAACGGUCUCUUUACUUAUCGUUUGUACCUGAUGAAGAGAUUGGUGGCUAUGAUGGUGCUAAGAAGCUAGCUUACUCUGAUGUUUUCAAGGAUAUGAAUGUUGAAAUAGUGCUUGAUGAAGGACUACCUUCUACCGACGAGAAUUAUAGGCUAUUCUAUGCGGAGAUGGCUCCAUGGUGGCUGGUGAUAAAGAGUAACGGCGCCCCUGGACAUGGGGCAAAGCUCUAUGACAAUAGUGCAAUGGAGAACCUUUUGAAGAGCAUUGAGAGCAUAAGGAGGUUCCGGGCUUCACAAUUCGAUUUGCUUAAGGCUGGUUUGAAGUCUAAAGGGGAUGUCAUUUCGGUUAACAUGGUCUUUCUCAAGGCUGGCACACCUUCUCCCACUGGUUUCGUCAUGAACUUGCAGCCAUCUGAAGCAGAAGCUGGUUUUGAUAUUCGAGCACCACCAACAGCUGACAUAGAAUCCUUGGAGAAACGGAUAGAAGAGGAAUGGGCACCUGCUUCAAGAAACAUGACAUUUGAGUUUAAGCAAAAGGUUACUCCACAUGAUGAUCUUGGAAGGCCACUCAUAACUGCCACUGAUGAUUCUAAUCCAUGGUGGACUCUAAUAGAAGAAGCUAUCAAUAAAGCUAAUGGAAAGAUUGGGAAGCCGGAGAUUCUUUCCGGUGCAACAGAUGCUCGCUAUUUCCGGCAACUAGGCCUUACAGCUAUUGGCUUUUCACCAAUGACCAACACCCCUUUUUUGCUUCACGACCAUAAUGAGUUUCUAAACAAAGCGGAGUACUUUAAAGGAAUUAAUGUUUACGAGUCCAUUAUUGAAGCUUAUACAUCAUAUAUCCCACCUGGAAGAGAUGGAGUUUCGAGAGAUGAGUUGUAAGGAGCCAAAGAGGCACAUCUUCACGUUCUUAGCUUCCCUUGCUUCCUUGUUUGUACCAUUUCACAGAGGAGGUUGAGGAUGUUCCCAGUAAUGUAUCAAUAAAGGAAGCACUUUCACCACUUAUCUAUGCUGAAGAGAGCUGACUCAUCAUGUAACUGCUUGGAUUACCAGCCCUGCAAAUGACGAGAAAUACAAGAGCAAAGAGAGGACUGAGAGCCUCUAUGAAGAAGGAAUCAAUGGCGGGCUGUGUUCUAAUAAUUUUCUGAACAUUUUAUACUAGUUCAAAAUGGGCCGGGGUUUGACGGUUUCGGCAGCCAUAUUUAUUAUUUAAAACUGGUUAAAUUCUGCCAGUAGUCCUUGUACUUUUUAAAUUUUAAAUUUUCAUAUCUCAUCAAAGAGUAUCUAUUAAAUUCAA